UGGCCGUCGUCAGCUCGUGCCGUGAGAUGUUGGGUUAAGUCCCGCAACGAGCGCAACCCCCGCCGUUAGUUGCCAGCGGUUCGGCCGGGCACUCUAACGGGACUGCCCGCGAAAGCGGGAGGAAGGAGGGGACGACGUCUGGUCAGCAUGGCCCUUACGGCCUGGGCGACACACGUGCUACAAUGCCCACUACAAAGCGAUGCCACCCGGCAACGGGGAGCUAAUCGCAAAAAGGUGGGCCCAGUUCGGAUUGGGGUCUGCAACCCGACCCCAUGAAGCCGGAAUCGCUAGUAAUCGCGGAUCAGCCAUGCCGCGGUCGAAUACGUUCCGGGCCUU
This 336-nucleotide ribosomal RNA is filed under the name uncultured Thermus sp. RNAcentral describes it as "bacterial SSU rRNA". It matches the Rfam family "Bacterial small subunit ribosomal RNA", at positions 1046 to 1382 of the family's 1533-position model. Lineage: Bacteria; Thermotogati; Deinococcota; Deinococci; Thermales; Thermaceae. The record is from RNAcentral.